UAUGUCCGCUGGGGGUGCUUUUAGCUGAGAUGGCAGAUGCCAAACCCCUAGAACCUGAUUAGGUUAAUGCCUACGAAGGGAAUGCGGCAAAAGACCGCA
This 99-nucleotide non-coding RNA is filed under the name Thermoanaerobacterium saccharolyticum. RNAcentral describes it as "TPP sequence". It matches the Rfam family "TPP riboswitch aptamer (THI element)". From Rfam's summary of the family: Vitamin B(1) in its active form thiamin pyrophosphate (TPP) is an essential coenzyme that is synthesised by coupling of pyrimidine and thiazole moieties in bacteria. The previously detected thiamin-regulatory element, thi box was extended, resulting in a new, highly conserved RNA secondary structure, the THI element, which is widely distributed in eubacteria and also occurs in some archaea. Lineage: Bacteria; Bacillati; Bacillota; Clostridia; Thermoanaerobacterales; Thermoanaerobacteraceae. The record is from RNAcentral.